RNAcentral lists this ribosomal RNA (481 nucleotides) under uncultured bacterium. Its description in RNAcentral is "bacterial SSU rRNA". It matches the Rfam family "Bacterial small subunit ribosomal RNA", at positions 30 to 511 of the family's 1533-position model. The record is from RNAcentral.
AUUGAACGCUGGCGGCAUGCCUUACACAUGCAAGUCGAACGGCAGCGGACCUUCGGGUGCCGGCGAGUGGCGAACGGGUGAGUAAUAUAUCGGAACGUACCUUUCAGUGGGGGAUAACGUAGCGAAAGUUACGCUAAUACCGCAUAUUCUGUGAGCAGGAAAGCAGGGGAUCGCAAGACCUUGCGCUGAUUGAGCGGCCGAUAUCAGAUUAGCUAGUUGGUGAGGUAAAGGCUCACCAAGGCGACGAUCUGUAGCGGGUCUGAGAGGAUGAUCCGCCACACUGGAACUGAGACACGGUCCAGACUCCUACGGGAGCAGCAGUAGGGAAUAUUGGACAAUGGGGGGAACCCUGAUCCAGCCAUGCCGCGUGAGGGAAGAAGGUCCUCUGGAUUGUAAACCUCUUUUUAGGCAGGAAACAAACCUGCGCUAUACGCGCAGCUGAGGGUACCUGCAGAAUAAGCACCGGCUAACUCCGUGCCAG